CAAUAGCGUAUAUUUAAGUUGUUGCAGUUAAAAAGCUCGUAGUUGGAUUUCGGAUGGGACUUGCCGGUCCGUCGUUUCGAUGUGCACUGGCCAGUCCUAUCUUGUUGUCGGGGACUAGCUCCUGGGCUUCACUGUCCGGGACUAGGAGCUGACGAGGUUACUUUGAGUAAAUUAGAGUGUUCAAAGCAAGCCUACGCUCUGAAUACAUUAGCAUGGAAUAACACGAUAGGACUCUGGCUUAUCUUGUUGGUCUGUGAGACCAGAGUAAUGAUUAAGAGGGACAGUCGGGGGCAUUCGUAUUUCAUUGUCAGAGGUGAAAUUCUUGGAUUUAUGAAAGACGAACUUCUGCGAAAGCAUUUGCCAAGGAUGUUUUCAUUAA
RNAcentral lists this ribosomal RNA (379 nucleotides) under uncultured eukaryote. RNAcentral's name for it is "partial 18S ribosomal RNA". It matches the Rfam family "Eukaryotic small subunit ribosomal RNA", at positions 592 to 976 of the family's 1831-position model. The record is from RNAcentral.